Molecule: long non-coding RNA, 268 nt
Organism: Melanaphis sacchari
Lineage: Eukaryota; Metazoa; Arthropoda; Insecta; Hemiptera; Aphididae
Exons: 3
Source: RefSeq, a predicted model, not a curated record
CAUUACUCGACAACGUACCAGGUUCGUUGAGCAUCGCCAGCGGUGAAUUCAUAAACGGUAAACGAUCAUUCUUGGACUCCUAGAAACAGUGAACAUACAGUAUAAUGUAAAUGAAUGAUACCCGCUAUAAAGAUUGACAUAAUGAGAAUUAAAUAGCCACACGGAUUUGAUAUUGUAACUGUUGAAGACAAAAAUUUUCCAUCAAUUGUGUGUUUUGAAGUGAAACAUGGAGGUUUCACUAUGUCCGAUAAAAGUGAAGAAGAAGCCA